GCUGCCGGCGCGGACACACGCUCCGCGGCUCUGCCGCCAGCCCCGUGCGCGCUCCCGCCCGGUGCGCCCGGCGCGGAAGUGGGAGGGCUCAGCCGGGGGAGCUUUAAAUGCGGAGAGGGGCGGCCGGGGUGCGUGUGGGUGAGGGCUGUGUCAGCCCCGCUGCCGAGCAGGGAGGCUCCGGCGUUGCUGGGGAAACACGAGGAAAGGACAAAGCGGGACCAAGAUUUUCUGGCAAGUGCCAUGUGAAAAUGAGAGCCCAAAGCUCAGCCCCAGCCUGGCAAGGGGAGAAGCGGAGAGCAGGAGCCAGCGAUGCUGAGAGCUGAGCACCAGCCACCACACGGGACGGGCCACCCCACACAGCCCUCAGCAAUAGCUCCAGCAUGUUCCCAGCUCUGCGAGGCAGCCGCCGCAGCUCGGCACAGCUUUCCAAGCACUGAACGGCGCUUGUGUGUGUCCCCAGCACAUGUGGGCUGCCGGCACCACAGCCCGAGCCCUGCGCACACCAGCCUGGGGGUGUUUCCCAGCUGUAAUACACCAGGAAGCACCACCUAAGGAAGUUCCCCAACUUAAAACCCACUGUUCCCCUUGCACAUGCUUGCAAAUAAACAGCAAGCAGCACAAAACCAGACCACAGACACACAGAGCCCCAGCUAUAUAACCUGCAGUAUAAAAUGCCACAGCAAAAACAGUUCCAUUAAAGAACUGCUGGUUUCUGCCUGGA
Long non-coding RNA from Pezoporus occidentalis (night parrot), 721 nucleotides. RefSeq lists it as uncharacterized. The transcript has 3 exons. The record is from RefSeq and is a predicted model, not a curated record. Lineage: Eukaryota; Metazoa; Chordata; Aves; Psittaciformes; Psittacidae.